RNAcentral lists this ribosomal RNA (265 nucleotides) under uncultured archaeon. RNAcentral's name for it is "partial 16S ribosomal RNA". It matches the Rfam family "Bacterial small subunit ribosomal RNA", at positions 524 to 788 of the family's 1533-position model. The record is from RNAcentral.
UACGGAGGGGGCGAGCGUUGUUCGGAAUCACUGGGCGUAAGGCGUGCGUAGGCGGUUAUGCAAGUCAGAAGUGAAAUCCCAGGGCUCAACCUUGGAAUUGCUUUUGAGACUGUAUGACUAGAGAUCUAGAGAGGUUGGGGGAAUUCUGAGUGUAGAGGUGAAAUUCGCAGAUAUUCGGAGGAACACCAGUGGCGUAGGCGCCCAACUGGCUAGAUACUGACGCUGAGGCACGAAAGCGUGGGGAGCAAACAGGAUUAGAAACCCC